UGCCAGACUCCUACGGGAGGCAGCAGUGAGGAAUAUUGGUCAAUGGGCGGAAGCCUGAACCAGCCAAGUCGCGUGAGGGAAUAAGGCCCUACGGGUCGUAAACCUCUUUUGCCGGGGAGCAAGGGCGGGGACGUGUCCCGGCCCGGAGAGUACCCGGAGAAAAAGCAUCGGCUAACUCCGUGCCAGCAGCCGCGGUAAUACGGAGGAUGCGAGCGUUAUCCGGAUUUAUUGGGUUUAAAGGGGGCGUAGGCGGGAUGCCAAGUCAGCGGUAAAAAUGCGGUGCUAAACGCCGUCGAGCCGUUGAAACUGGCGUUCUUGAGUGGGCGAGAAGUAUGCGGAAUGCGUGGUGUAGCGGUGAAAUGCAUAGAUAUCACGCAGAACUCCGAUUGCGAAGGCAGCAUGCCGGCGCCCAACUGACGCUGAAGCACGAAAGCGUGGGUAUCGAACAGGAUUAGAUACCCGCGUAAC
RNAcentral lists this ribosomal RNA (468 nucleotides) under uncultured bacterium. RNAcentral's name for it is "partial 16S ribosomal RNA". It matches the Rfam family "Bacterial small subunit ribosomal RNA", at positions 329 to 795 of the family's 1533-position model. The record is from RNAcentral.